Molecule: ribosomal RNA, 415 nt
Filed under: uncultured bacterium
Lineage: Bacteria
Description: bacterial SSU rRNA
Rfam family: Bacterial small subunit ribosomal RNA
Source: RNAcentral
UAAGGAAUAUUGGUCAAUGGACGCAAGUCUGAACCAGCCAUGCCGCGUGAAGGAUGAAGGUCCUCUGGAUUGUAAACUUCUUUUAUCUGGGACGAAAACGGGAUUUUUAUCUCAAUUGACGGUACCAGAGGAAUAAGCACCGGCUAACUCCGUGCCAGCAGCCGCGGUAAUACGGAGGGUGCGAGCGUUAUCCGGAUUUACUGGGUUUAAAGGGUGCGUAGGUGGGCUUAUAAGUCAGUGGUGAAAUCUCCGAGCUUAACUUGGAAACUGCCUGUGNUACCAUAGGUCUUGAAUUAUCUGGAGGUAAGCGGAAUAUGUCAUGUAGCGGUGAAAUGCUUAGAUAUGACAUAGAACACCAAUUGCGAAGGCAGCUUACUACAUAUAAAUUGACGCUGAGGCACGAAAGCGUGGGGAU